GACGAACGCUGGCGGCGUGCUUAACACAUGCAAGUCGAGCGGUAAGGCCCUUUCGGGGGUACACGAGCGGCGAACGGGUGAGUAACACGUGGGUGACCUGCCCUCAGCUCUGGGAUAAGCCUGGGAAACCGGGUCUAAUACCGGAUAUGACUCCAUGACGCAUGUUGUGGGGUGGAAAGCCUUGUGCGGCUGAGGAUGGGCCCGCGGCCUAUCAGCUUGUUGGUGGGGAUGGCCUACCAAGGCGACGACGGGUAGCCGGCCUGAGAGGGCGACCGGCCACACUGGGACUGAGACACGGCCCAGACUCCUACGGGAGGCAGCAGUGGGGAAUCUUGCGCAAUGGGCGAAAGCCUGACGCAGCGACGCCGCGUGAGGGAUGACGGCCU
This 386-nucleotide ribosomal RNA is filed under the name uncultured bacterium. RNAcentral's name for it is "bacterial SSU rRNA". It matches the Rfam family "Bacterial small subunit ribosomal RNA", at positions 28 to 417 of the family's 1533-position model. The record is from RNAcentral.